UUAUUAAGAAGCAAGAAGGAGGAGGGGGAAACUCUAAAGUGCCUUGUUAGUUGUUUCUUCACGUUUUCCGAAUGGACCGAAUAUGCCUCACUCUCCUGCUCUUCGUGGCGGUGGCGAUGUGCCGCGCAGACACCACCAACAACUCCGGCGGCCUGUUAUUGCCCCCUGAUGCGGUGGAUUCUGUUUUAGUUCCGCCUGAAAACUCCGACGGCGGCUUUUCUUCACUGGACAGCAUGUUAAACUGGGCUAUAAGUAAUUCGGAUCCCGAAAAAUUAAAGGAAUCUGCUCAAGCUCAGCAACGGCUCUCACAAAGCGAGCUCCAGAAACGCCAAAUGGAAAUCAAGGAGAUUAUGGAGAAAACAAAGAUGCCUUCGGACGGGGAACUAAUGAAGAUUGCUAUAAGUGACUUGAAUAACAAGUCAGCGUCAUUGGAAGAUAGGUACCGUGCUUUACAGGAGCUCUUAGAGCUCGUGGAGCCAAUAGAUAAUGCAAACGAUUUGCACAAACUUGGGGGACUUGUCGUGAUUACACAGGAACUUAAUCACUCUGAUCCAGGCAUAAGGACAAUUGCUGCAUGGAUCCUUGGGAAAGCUAGUCAAAAUAACCCAAUUGUGCAGCAGCAGGUCUUGGAACUCCAAGUACUCUCUAAGCUGAUGAAAAUGGUAAAGUCUGAUUCUGUAGAAGAAGCCAAUAAGGCACUAUAUGCAGUUUCAGCAUUAAUUCGGAAUAAUGCUGCAAGUCAGGAGAAGUUCUAUGCUGAAGCUGGAGGUUGGAUGCUUCACGAUAUUUUGAGGAAUGCUAAUCUUGAUAUCAGACUACGGAAGAAGGCUGUGCUCCUAUUGGCCGAUCUAGCAGCGUAUCAAUUAGAGAAUGUAGACAGAGAUGGACCGCCUUUUUUCAAUGACCGGGAUCUGUUGAAGUCAGUAGUUGAUUUAACUGCAUCACCUGAUCUUGAUCUCCAGGAAAAGGCUCUUGUAGCGAUUAAAAGUUUUCUGCAACUAAGGAUCACUGAAGCUCUCGUUUUCAGAGAUUUUUGUGCUUUGGGCAAUGCACUGAAUAGGAUGAAGCAAUCGUUGCAUGAUUUGAUGGCAGACGAGUAUCAGAGAGACUAUGUGAUGGAUGUGGAAACCCUUCGCAUUGAAGUGGAACAAAUUUUCCAUAAAAAACUCGUAAAGCAGUGAUGAGUUCACAUUCCUGUGAUCAUAAUGACGCAUAAUUAUUCAGUUUCUAGGGAUUAAUAAUUCAAUAUCAAUCUUAUAGUUGUGUAUACCAAAAAGGAAAAAGAAUCUAUGAACGAGACAAUCCAGGGUUGAGAGUUGUUAUCGACAAUUGUUCAUUUUACUAGUCUUAUUCUAUGUUAUCGACAAAUGUUAAUGAGAUUUUGAUUUUAACAAAUCACUCCUUUGAAGUUCAACAUAGGUAGUUGUUGAUCUGCUCAUUACUAAGAUUGUGAUUAACAAAGAGGC
RNA transcript from Arachis stenosperma, 1466 nucleotides. RefSeq lists it as uncharacterized. Lineage: Eukaryota; Viridiplantae; Streptophyta; Magnoliopsida; Fabales; Fabaceae. The transcript is spliced from 8 exons. The record is from RefSeq and is a predicted model, not a curated record.